This 254-nucleotide ribosomal RNA is filed under the name uncultured bacterium. RNAcentral's name for it is "partial 16S ribosomal RNA". It matches the Rfam family "Bacterial small subunit ribosomal RNA", at positions 524 to 776 of the family's 1533-position model. The record is from RNAcentral.
AACGUAGGUUCCGAGCGUUAUCCGGAUUUACUGGGCGUAAAGCGCGUUCAGGCGGUUUGGCAAGUCGGGCAUGAAAUCCUUCGGCUCAGCCGGGGGAGGUUGUCCGAUACUGCUGAACUGGAGGGCAGUAGAGGGUGGUGGAAUUCCGGGUGUAGUGGUGAAAUGCGUAGAUAUCGGGAGGAACACCAGUGGCGAAGGCGACUACCUGGCCUGUUUCUUGACGCUGAGGCGCGAAAGCUAGGGGAGCAAACGGG